AUACUUACCUGGCAAGGGAGACACCGUGAUCAAGAAGGCGGUUCACCCAGGGCGAGGCUCAGCCAUUGCACUCCGGCUGUGCUGACCCCUGCGAAUUUCCCAAAUGUGGAAAUCUCGAUUGCAUAAUUUCUGGUAGUGGGGGACUGCGUUCGCGCUCUCCCCUG
Salmo trutta (river trout) is the source of this 164-nucleotide small nuclear RNA. Its record names the gene U1. It matches the Rfam family "U1 spliceosomal RNA". From Rfam's summary of the family: U1 is a small nuclear RNA (snRNA) component of the spliceosome (involved in pre-mRNA splicing). Its 5' end forms complementary base pairs with the 5' splice junction, thus defining the 5' donor site of an intron. The record is from Ensembl. Lineage: Eukaryota; Metazoa; Chordata; Actinopteri; Salmoniformes; Salmonidae.